AAGGGGUUAGUGUGCUUUACAGGAGUAUUUAAUAGCUGCUCUAUGUGUAAAGAGCUUUGGGACCCUAUCAAAUGAAAAGAGCUAUGCACUGUAAAUGCAAACAAUUAUUAAUAUGCUAGAUCUCUUUGUCAAUGUCCUAUUAUAACAAUUAUAAUUAACCUUCCAUGGUAAGUUUAACAGUGAAGCAGGAAUAAAUCCAAGAUUAAGGUACAAGUUGAACAUAAAAUAUGCUUAAACAGGAAGCUUGUGUUAAAAGCUCCAAAUAAUGUCUGUUGUAGCUGACCAGAUUUCACAGGGCUGAACACCAGCUGUGUGAAAUAUGAGACUCUUUAAGGAAGAAAAAAAUGAGCUUACACACAAGCUUGUAUGCUUGUGCUGAUAGCAUCAAUAGGAUGACGAAAACAAUUACCCUUCUGGGAAGGGCAUUCUCUGACAUUUGCAAGAAUGCGCUGAGAUGUUCAUAAUGCAAAAGCUCUAGCAGUCGCACACGCAUGAUCUUCGAUUACCUGUGCUCUGCUUGUGGGUUGGGCAGAACAUCAAUGUGGUGCGUCCUGAAGAACAUUAGACAGGGCGGAAACAAUUCUCUCAAAACCUUUGACAGCCUUAAAGUAUAGCUGAGGGCAAUGUAACUUUCAUUUAAGAGACAUACUUUCAGAAUAAAAUCAGGAUACUAGUUUGCCAGGCCAAGAGUAAAACAUGUACUUUUUAUUUAAAAAAGCAGGAAUUAAUUUGGUUUUAUUUGUGAUUUGUAUCAACACGUCUUUUGAACAGUUAGUGAUGCCAACAACAGAACCAACAGGAUCAAGUUUUCCCUCAAAUGAAACAGCUAUGUUGCAUACAACCCCAACACUUAUAUCACCUCCUGCAAGUACAACGCCAGCUCCUACAACAACACCUCCAUCUGUUCUUGCGUCCAUAUCAACAAUAUCUCCCCAUAUAGCCACAACUACACCUCCCACCACAACCUC
Molecule: long non-coding RNA, 968 nt
Filed under: Lepisosteus oculatus (spotted gar)
Lineage: Eukaryota; Metazoa; Chordata; Actinopteri; Semionotiformes; Lepisosteidae
Description: lncRNA (ENSLOCG00000021916.1)
Source: RNAcentral